UACAGAGGGGGCAAGCGUUGUUCGGAAUUACUGGGCGUAAAGGGCGCGUAGGCGGCCCGCUAAGUCGAACGUGAAAUCCCCGAGCUCAACUCGGGAACUGCGUCCGAUACUGGUGGGCUUGAAUCCGGGAGAGGGAUGCGGAAUUCCAGGUGUAGCGGUGAAAUGCGUAGAUAUCUGGGGGAACACCGGUGGCGAAGGCGGCAUCCUGGACCGGCAUUGACGCUGAGGCGCGAAAGCUAGGGGAGCAAACGGG
RNAcentral lists this ribosomal RNA (253 nucleotides) under uncultured bacterium. RNAcentral describes it as "partial 16S ribosomal RNA". It matches the Rfam family "Bacterial small subunit ribosomal RNA", at positions 524 to 776 of the family's 1533-position model. The record is from RNAcentral.